UGGGGAAUCUUGGACAAUGGGGGCAACCCUGAUCCAGCCAUGCCGCGUGAGUGAUGAAGGCCUUAGGGUCGUAAAGCUCUUUCGCCUGUGAAGAUAAUGACGGUAGCAGGUAAAGAAACCCCGGCUAACUCCGUGCCAGCAGCCGCGGUAAUACGGAGGGGGUUAGCGUUGUUCGGAAUUACUGGGCGUAAAGCGCACGUAGGCGGACCAGAAAGUUGGGGGUGAAAUCCCGGGGGCUCAACCCCGGAACUGCCUCCAAAACUAUUGGUCUAGAGUUCGAGAGAGGUGAGUGGAAUUCCAAGUGUAGAGGUGAAAUUCGUAGAUAUUUGGAGGAACACCAGUGGCGAAGGCGGCUCACUGGCUCGAUACUGACGCUGAGGUGCGAAAGUGUGGGGAGCAAACAGGAUUAGAUACCCUGGUAGUCCACACCGUAAAACGAUGAAUGCCAGUCGUCGGGUAGCAUGCUAUUCGGUGACACACCUAACGGAUUAAGCAUUUCCCGG
Molecule: ribosomal RNA, 503 nt
Filed under: uncultured bacterium
Lineage: Bacteria
Description: bacterial SSU rRNA
Rfam family: Bacterial small subunit ribosomal RNA
Source: RNAcentral